AAUGAUAUGCCUGAUUUAAAAGGAUUAUUUUGAUAGAAUAAAUCAUGCAUUCGAUGCUUUCAUUA
This 65-nucleotide transfer RNA is filed under the name Pseudomyrmex particeps. Its description in RNAcentral is "tRNA-Ile". Lineage: Eukaryota; Metazoa; Arthropoda; Insecta; Hymenoptera; Formicidae. The record is from RNAcentral.